This 1406-nucleotide ribosomal RNA is filed under the name uncultured Bordetella sp. RNAcentral's name for it is "partial 16S-23S ribosomal RNA intergenic spacer". It matches the Rfam family "Bacterial small subunit ribosomal RNA". The record is from RNAcentral. Lineage: Bacteria; Pseudomonadati; Pseudomonadota; Betaproteobacteria; Burkholderiales; Alcaligenaceae.
AAUUGAACGGCAGCACGGACUUCGGUCUGGUGGCGAGUGGCGAACAGGUGAGUAAUGUAUCGGAACGUGCCCUGGUAGCCAGGGAUAACACGCGCGAAAGCGUAGCUAAUGCCGCAUACGCCCUUCGGGGGAAAGCGGGGGACCUUCGGGCCUCGCACUAUUAGAGCGGCCGAUAUCAGUUAGCUAGUUGGUGGGGUAACGGCUCACCGAGGCGACGAUCCGUAGCUGGUUUGAGAGGACGACCAGCCACACUGGGACUGAGACACGGCAGACUCCUACGGGAGGCAGCAGUGGGGAAUUUUGGACAAUGGAAACCUGAUCCAGCCAUCCCGUGUGCGAUGAAGGCCUUCGGGUUGUAAAAACACUUUUGGCAGGAAAGAAACGGCACGGGAUAAUACCCCGUGCAACUGACCUGCAGAAUAAGCACCGGCUAACUACGUGCCAACAGCCGCGGUAAUACGUAGGGUGCAAGCGUUAAUCAGGAUUACUGGGCGUAAAACGUGCGCAGGCGGUUCGGAAAAGAAGAUGUGAAAUCCCGAGGCUUGCUGGAACUGCAUUUUAAUACCGAGCUAGAGUGUGUCAGAGGUGGAAUUCCGCGAUGUAGCAGUGAAAUGCGUAGAUGUGCGGAGGGAACACCGACGGCAGAGAGCAGCCUCUGGGAUAACACUGACGGCGCUCAUGCACGAAAGCGUGAGCAGCAGGAUUAAGAUGCCCUGGUAGUCCGCCUAAACGAUGUCAGCUAGCUAUUUGGGGCCGCUUGAAGCGCGGUAAGCCCACCAACUAACGCGUGAGAUUGACCGCCUGGGAAAUACGGUCGCAAGAUUAAAACUCAAAGGAAUUGACGGGGACCCGCACAAGCGGUGGAUGAUGGAUUAAUUCGAUGCAACGCGAAAAACCUUACCUACCCUUGACAUGUCUGGAAUCCCGAAGAGAUUUGGAGUGCUCGCGAAGGCGGAACACGCGAUUGCUGCAUGGCUGUCGUCAGCUCGUGUGUCGUGAGAUGUUGGGUUAAGAAUCCCGCAACGAGCGCAACCUGUGUUAGUUGCUACGAAGAGGGCACUCUAAUGAGACUGCCGGUGACAAACCGGAGGAAGGUGGGGAUGACGUCAAAGUCCUCAUGGCCCUUAUGGUGGACUUACGUCAUACAAUGGUCGGGACAGAGGGUCGCUAGCCCCGCGAGAAGGCCAAUCCCAGAAACCCGAUCACCGUCCGGAUCACCAGUCUGCAACUCGACUGCGUGAAGUCAAAUCGCUAUUAAUCGCGGAUCAGCAUGUCGCGGUGAAUACGUUCCCGGGUCUUACACCGCCCGUCACACCAUGGGUGGGGUUUGCCAAUGGAUCUUCUAACCGUAAGGAGGGCGAUUACCACGGUAAGUUCAUGACUGGGGUGAAGUCGUAACAAGGUAG